Molecule: unclassified non-coding RNA, 1058 nt
Filed under: Rhagoletis pomonella (apple maggot)
Lineage: Eukaryota; Metazoa; Arthropoda; Insecta; Diptera; Tephritidae
Description: mitochondrial import inner membrane translocase subunit Tim23, transcript variant X1
Source: RNAcentral
GUGUUUGAAGUUUCUACUGUCAAAGCAGUUGGGUUGAAGACAUUAGGAAAAUUCCACAAGCUUUUAUCGGGGAAAAAAUUGGCUAGAUUCUUAAAGAAAAUUUGAGUUAAAAUACAUAAAUAACGUGAAAAUAACAAUGAGCGAAGACUACUUAAGUCAACCACUAUCGCUGGGGUCGUCAUCAACAGAUGAAGCACGCACGAAUCGAUCGAGUGGAGCGUCAUCCGGUACAAGCACAUUUAGUACCCCUAUAUCACCAUAUCUAAAUUACGACCCGCGUUUCCUGCAACAAGCGCAACCAGAAUUUAUUUUUCCGGAAGGCGCCAAUAAGCAACGUGGACGCUUCGAACUAGCAUUUUCACAGAUUGGAAGUUCUGUGAUAGUUGGGGCGGGAAUCGGUGGGUUGGCUGGAUUUUACAAUGGUCUUCAAACAACCACCGCAUUGAAACAGGCCGGAAAAUUGAGACGAACACAACUGCUCAAUCAUGUGAUGAAACAAGGCUCAGGCACUGCAAACACUCUGGGGACAAUAGCCGUGAUGUAUUCCGCUUUCGGUGUACUGCUGCAAAGUGUACGCGGUGAAGACGAUGAUAUUAACACGGUUAUCGCUGGCACAGCUACGGGAUUGUUGUACAAAUCUACAGCCGGUCUUAGAAGGUGCGCAAUCGGUGGAGGUGUAGGACUUGGUAUAACAACGCUUUAUUGUCUCUUCCAAUUUAUGCGGUCGAGUUCCGGCGGGUCUAAUUUGAAAUUCCUGUAAAGUCACAAGUGUUUCAAAAAUUGAAGUGGAUGUAGUAAACUGACUGCAUUAUUUUGUAUACAUAUACGAAUGGUAGUUAGCUGCUGGUAGUGACAUAUGUAACUCCAGAUCGUGGAGAUGAAUGGAGUUGCGUUAUUCCUCUAUGUAACGCGCUCAAACGUACAUAGCAAAUCUAAGUUCCCUACAUCGCCGCACUCAACUGAUAACCUGAUAACAGCUGAUAAGAAUAGGUAAAAUCAACAAAAUUAAAUUUAAUAAUCCAAGACAUCGGAAUCUGAACCAGUUAACGCCAACACUU